GAGUACGAUCAUACCAGCAAUAAUGUAAUGAAUCUCAUCAUAACUCUGCAGUGAAUCAUGCUUCAGCAAGAGUAGUACUAGGAUGGAUGACCCCCUGGGAAGUUCUCGUGUUGCACCCU
This is a ribosomal RNA of Gossypium arboreum, 119 nucleotides long. Lineage: Eukaryota; Viridiplantae; Streptophyta; Magnoliopsida; Malvales; Malvaceae. The record is from Rfam.